This 253-nucleotide ribosomal RNA is filed under the name uncultured bacterium. RNAcentral describes it as "partial 16S ribosomal RNA". It matches the Rfam family "Bacterial small subunit ribosomal RNA", at positions 524 to 776 of the family's 1533-position model. The record is from RNAcentral.
UACGUAGGGGACAAACGUUAUCCGGAAUUACUGGGCGUAAAGGGCGUGUAGGCGGUUUGUUAAGUCUGGCGUGAAAGCUCUCGGCUAAACCGGGAGAGGUCGUUGGAUACUGGCAAACUAGAGGACGGUAGAGGCGUGUGGAAUUCCGGGUGUAGUGGUGAAAUGCGUAGAGAUCCGGAGGAACACCAGUGGCGAAGGCGACACGCUGGGCCGUACCUGACGCUAAAGCGCGACAGCAUGGGGAGCAAACGGG